RNAcentral lists this unclassified non-coding RNA (204 nucleotides) under uncultured cyanobacterium. RNAcentral describes it as "partial 16S-23S ribosomal RNA intergenic spacer". Lineage: Bacteria; Bacillati; Cyanobacteriota. The record is from RNAcentral.
CGGUUCGAGUCCGCUUACCUCCACUGAUCCACCUUCUCAUAGCGAAUUAUUGGAGAUUGAGUCUUCUGCUGAUGUGAUUUAGACGUUUUACUUGAUAAGAACCUAGCUUCCUGUCUUUGAUCUUCAACUUAAUUUUUAGAUUUUGUUUUUUUGAUAGGACGCUGGGCUCACUUCAAUUUGUAUUAAUUGAAGAGACGUUCAGUA